Molecule: ribosomal RNA, 478 nt
Filed under: uncultured bacterium
Lineage: Bacteria
Description: partial 16S ribosomal RNA
Rfam family: Bacterial small subunit ribosomal RNA
Source: RNAcentral
GAUGAACGCUGGCGGCGUGCUUAACACAUGCAAGUCGAACGAGAAAUGUAGACGGAAACCUUCGGGCGGAAGCCUUCAUUUCGAGUGGCGGACGGGUGAGUAACGCGUGGGUAACCUGCCUCAUACAGGGGGAUAACAGUUGGAAACGACUGUUAAUACCGCAUAAGACCACAGCAUCGCAUGAUGCGGGGGUAAAAACUCCGGUGGUAUGAGAUGGACCCGCGUUCGAUUAGCCAGUUGGCGGGGUAACGGCCCACCAAAGCGACGAUCGAUAGCCGAUCUGAGAGGAUGACCGGCCACAUUGGGACUGAGACACGGCCCAAACUCCUACGGGAGGCAGCAGUGGGGAAUAUUGCACAAUGGGGGAAACCCUGAUGCAGCGACGCCGCGCGAGUGAAGAAGUACUUCGGUAUGUAAAGCUCUAUCAGCAGGGAAGAAAAUGACGGUACCUGAGUAAGAAGCCCCGGCUAACUACGUG